Molecule: non-coding RNA, 74 nt
Organism: Podarcis lilfordi (Lilford's wall lizard)
Lineage: Eukaryota; Metazoa; Chordata; Lepidosauria; Squamata; Lacertidae
Source: the annotation of a GenBank genome assembly
CUAUAGCUCAGUCAGUAAAGCAUCAGACUUUUAAUCUCAGGGUUGUGGGUUUGAGCCCCACCUUGCGUGAAAGA